Passer domesticus (house sparrow) is the source of this 8012-nucleotide RNA transcript. It is a transcript of the gene named zinc finger and BTB domain containing 38, with no coding region annotated. The transcript has 9 exons. The record is from RefSeq and is a predicted model, not a curated record. NCBI's taxonomy places the organism in Eukaryota, Metazoa, Chordata, Aves, Passeriformes, Passeridae.
UCAUACACCUUAUGGGUUCUGAAAGUUUAAUUAUUUGGCAAGUAUACAUUGGUUUUUUUAAAAUAUUUUAAUGUACUUUAUACUAAGAUCCAUCUGAAAAUAUUGCUACUAAAGAUGUAGCAAAUUAGAUUAAAAUAUUUUUAAAUCUAUAUUAAUAUCUCUCAUGCUAUUGCCAAUUUAUUGAGUCUUGAUGGGUUAUUUAAGUAAGCCCACAAUAAUGGGGGCUUUUUGUUCAACACAUAAUUAGUCUAUAUCCUUGAAAUUCAAUAAAACUUUGCUGCACUAAAUAGCGGCUGUUAAUGCUUUCUGAGUAUCUUUAAUAUGUACGAUUCACAGUACUUGCAAAUCAUUAAAACAUGACAUUGUUUCACAAACAAUGCCACGUUCGUCACAGAGGAGCCAAAAAAUACUGGGAGCAGAGUGCUGAGAAGACAGGAAAUAAUGAGCUCGUCCUCUGACCCCAUUUUGAUGCCUCUUUGACCCAAAAAGCGAGUAGUGCUUGAUAGGCAGGCAUGGCUGAUCACCAGGGCCUCUAAGGAGGUUAGAAAUUGCAUGCAGGAAACCUUAGAAUCUCUGUUUUCACAUCAGGCUCAGAAAGCUAUCCAUGGUUUUGAUAUUUACUGAAAUACACCUGACAUCUGUUAGAAAGGAGGGAUCCUAGCUGUCAGCUGCACUAUUCUGAGACUAGAGAAUACUGUACAGCAAGUACAUACAAAGUCUGACCUCUGUGUCAAAUUACCCUGAUCUUUCUCCCUGCAGCUCUUCUGGAGAGGUGGGGAAGCUUCUGGGUCUCACCACUGACCUUAUCCUCACCUUUUAAGAAAAAAUGUUGUGGACUAACUAGGACCACUACUAAAGGACGAUGUCUUAAUUUUCUGGAGUUACAACAGCCUUACAGAAUCAAAUUUAAUCUUACUCUGCCAAUAGCCAACUGCAAACCCUGAUUACCUUUUGCGGGGUUAGCAUCAAGGCCCUUGGCCUGAUUCUGCCAGAGCUCCAGGCAGUUUUAGAUAACUGCUCUCACAAUAUCAUUUGUCAGACCAAGGUUUUGGCUUACACAAGAUCAGAAGGAAAAACAGUUAUCAAAUGCAUUGCUGAGUCGUGGUUCCAAUGGGAGAAUGCAGGGAAAUACAACUGUUACUAAAUCUUUCAAAUGUUACAUUAAGUCAUUUCAUCCUCAGUGCUCUUCACAAUUACUAAAGUUAAUUUAUAAACAGAAGGAAAAAACAUUGUCCCCAUUAGUAAAAAAUGGUUUUUGAAAUGCUUUACUUAUAGCAAGUAAUUAAAUAAAUUGGAAAGAAGCCUGUAUUCUGUAAAUGUGUACACUGACCAUGAAAAGUGCCAGUGUGUAUAUAUAAAGUCUCAUGAAAGAGAGAGGUUUCAGUAUUGCCCAGGACCAAGGUCAUACCAAGUUAGCACAGGACACUGAUCCUGCAGUGUUAGACAAGUAUGUGCUGAGGCAGUGAGCAGGACUUUUCACAGCACAGGGAGUUUGGGACGUGCAGUAAUUUGGGACAUCUGGGGCCAAAACUAUACGGGGCAUUUUUCUAGGCCUUUUUUCCUUAUGUUUAGAGAGCUAGAUUUGCAUUUAAAAUUGCUGCCUAUUUCAAGUUUCUUGGUUUUAAUAUGUUAGAGGUCUUAUGUCCAUCUGCUUUGAUCUUUUUGAAUUUCUGGCCUCUUUCAGAUGAUUUCAAAUUUAACACCUAAGAACUGAGAUGCUAAUGACUUCUAUGCAGUGUGUUGUAUUGUUAAAUGUAUCUUGAUUUGUGUGUUUCUUAUGUAGGUAAUAAUUUGGCUUACAGGUAGCUGGAGCAGCCUGCAGCUGCUCCCCUGAAAUCUGUGGGAGUCUUUUAGCUUUGACGGCAGCAUGAGCUGGCUCUAACCUAGAGGCCAUGCAGCUGGCUUUUACCAUACUUAGCUGGGUAUGAAAUCAUUGUAUUAGUCAGAACAAUGAGGAGGCAGCAGCAAAGCUGAAAUUGAAGCUUCAAGGAUCUGACUCAUUCCGUUUCUGGCGCAAAGAGGUGCAAAUUGCACUUCCUGAAUUUGCUGCACACCUACCAAACCCCAAUUACUGCACACCCCAAACGGGCUGUGCUGUGAAAAGCCCUGCUCACUGCCUCAGCACAGAGCCAUCAACUGAUUAGCUGUUGGCAGCUGCUGUUUGUAGGAUGUUAGCUGAAAGUUAUCUGUGUGUUGCUGCAACUCUCUUUACCAGCCCUGCAGUCCUAGCUCACUGUCACCCAGAGAGCCCGGUUUGCUGCAAUGGUACCCUGAGAAUCUUCAGCUGGACAACAACAUGACAGAGCAGGGCCCUCAUCCUCUGCUGGUCAUAAGGAGCAUAUUGUCUACUUGGUUUUUUCCAUCAGAACUAGCAAGAAUAUAGCUCCUCAGAUGUGUUCUAUAUAUGUGUUCUAGGGAACUAGAAUAAUUUUAUCACCCUAGUUCAUAAUAUUAUAUAAAAAAAAACAAAACCCAAACAAAAAAACCCACAUAAACCAAAGCUGCAAGCCCACUGUGGUCUUGCAGAAAGCAUGUUGCAGCCCCUUUUAAGUCACAAACCCUGUCUGAGAAUUAUCAAAUGCAGUGGGUUGUAGCUAUGUCAGUCUGAUUCAGCAGGUAAUUGUGCAUGGAGACAGCCACAAGGUACACUCAGCAUGAAGAGCCAGCCAAAGGAAUUCUGCCUGCUGAUCUUUGAUGGUUGGAGCAAAGGAGGAGCUUUCUAGGACAAGUCAGAGAAGAUGGGAGGCAUGUUUUUCCCGGUGCCUGGGUCAUUAUACAGAAUGUACUGGUGCAGACACCCCUGGUUGCUGCUGUUUUCUAUCCAGGGUAGCAGCUUGCAGAUACUCAUUUAGGACUGUUAUUGACAGCUAGUUUGGGGGAAAGGCUGUUGCCAUUCUAAGGCUUGGGACCAAAAUUUGCAUGAAAAAUGUAUGUGCACAACGUCUUAGGCUAUUAACAGGUAUUCUCUUAUCACAGCAAAUUAAUUAGGAGAACUACAUUCUAAGUAAGGGGAGCUGGGAUUUGUUACUUUUUCUGUUUCUGUAAAAUUUUAGUCCACAGUAAAUCUGUGGUAGCUGUGAGGUUAUAGUAUUUGUUACAGUAUUUAUAUCUCUUGCUAUUACUUUUUGAGUCUUUGAUGGCAUAAAAAACUGUAAAUGCCUCUAGAAGGACUCACAUUCUAACUAUGUAAUGACAUUGUAGACAUUUUGGUUUCCAAGUAACUUCUCUAAUUUUGCUUCUCUUUAAUUUCUCUUGCUUCUUCUUUUUCAAUGAGCAAUGUUUUAGCAACACAGAGAAGGAAACAUGCAAAAAGUACUCCAAUUUGAACAAAGACAAAAUACAAGGACCUGGGAGCUGCCUUUAAAGAUCAUGAACGUGUUUGGUAAUUCAUCUGAGAGGAAAUGCUCAGUAUCAGUGUAUAUGGAAGUGUACUAAAAACCAUUCCUUUAAGCAGAUGAUUACAUUGUUAUUAUUUCACUUAGCUUGCUAAUACCAGAGAUAGUUUGAGAAUGCUUUCAAAUGAAGAAAUAAGUGCAAUAUUUUCUCCUGUGCCAUCACCUGCUAUGUUGUUCCCUCCUCUCUGACCUUGGUGCAAUCUGUUAAACAGUACAAGUACUUAAUGUGACAACUCCACAAUUUGUAAUAUGGACAAUGUUUGGAGUAUAAGGAGCAAGUGGCAGAAGACCUCUUACUUUGAUGGCACUUCACUGGUAUCUUGAUUCAUAUGCUGAUCUCCACAUUAUUUACGGCCAGUGUGCUCGGUGAAACACCAACUCAUCAUUUGUGCUUGGAUUACAACAAAGCUUAAAGCUAUUUGCCUAUUACUUACAGAAAGCAAAAAAGAAACACCUCAAGGUACACUCAAAACAGAACCUCAUGGCCAACUCUGCCUGGAGCUACUUUUGUCAGAGCAGCUGGAAUUGUUUUAAUUGUAGUUCAUAUAAUCAUCAUUGUAAUUGACUACUGCCUCUUCUGCAGAGAAGAAAAACAUGAUGGUCAUUCAAAUAUCUAAAAUAAAAAGCCCAGAAAAAACUAUCAUUAUUCAUGGACAGCAAUUGAGUUUGCACCUUCUGCUAUUUCUGAUAACAGGUGUUGGAAGACACCAUGAAAGCACUAUUUCACAGCCCUUCUUACUUUGUAAUUUGCACUGUUUUAACCCUGUGGUUUAUGGUCAGUGAAACAAAGAGCUGCAAAGCAAGCUAUUCAAGAGGCGAAGACUUGGUGCAAUUACUCACCACAUGGCAAACAUUAAUGACACAGCAGCUAUUUAGUUUGCUGAAUUAGGUGAGUGAUCUUAUAUGCAAAAUUAUAACUUUCCACUUUCUAAGCAAUUAUGAUCAUCAGGACUGUAAAAUAAAGAAGAAAGUCUUGGAUACUCCUGCACAAAAUGUUUUUAUGACACUGAAACUUAAGAGAAGUCGAACUGUUUCACUCCUUUAACAAUUUUCAUAUUCUUGUUAUUAUGACCCUACUGCUAUGAAGCUGGCUAUGAAACAAGAUCAAGCAGAAGACAGAGUACAACUUUGCACGUAAGAAUGCUACAGGUUUGCCAAAUGAAAUCUAAAACAGGAUUUAUUUUAAAAGAAAUUAAAACCUGCUUUGACUGGCAGUGAAAAUUAUGAUUACGAAGAAUAUGAUGGAAUCUAUCUGAAGUGUUGAAUCAGAGCAGGAGAGACUAGAAGAGUCCUGCUACAGGGAGGUGGGGGAAAGUCCAAGCUGACAGGUGGAAAAAAGUACUGUGUGUAUGAAGACUGGAGUAACAUGGCCUGUUCUGAGUAUCACUUAACUGCGUGGCAAGUACAGGACCAGAUUUAGAAUAACCGCAAACUGAAACCUGAAUAGUGGUGGAAACAGUCAUCUCUACAGAACUCUGGUAACACAAGUUGGGUGAUCGAUGGGGUCUCUCUUCUGAGUGUCUUGUUCACAAGCACUUGUCCUGGCAAAAAGCCCUAUGUCCUGGAUAUCAGGAAGCAGUUCACAGUUUUUCCUUUCUGUGGCUUCUUUGGGGUUACAGUCCCAGGAGCAGGUGGUCUUAAGUUCAGUCACUAAUGCAGAUUUAUUGUGGCUGUUACAACAAUUUUGGUAUCUUUUAAAGGCAGAGUUUGCAGUUAACGUAAAUUCCAGUUGAUAAACCUUUAGAUAAUACCAGAUUUUAUGCAGUUUUAUCAUAAUAAGAUGAUUGUAGACCACAAGCUAAGGCAACCACAGACUUUCUCAAACAAGUACGCUCAGCAUGUUAUAUUUAACAAGACACCAAACAUUCCAUGAUCAUCAAAUCCUUUUCUCCAAUAGAGCUCCUCCUUAUAAAAGAGGUAAUGCCAGUAGAAUCUUUGUCAGGUAGACAAAAGCUAAUGAGGGAUGUAGUUAAUUUCUGACUUUCUCCUUAUCCCUUAUGAGAGCUCUAAAAAGCUCUCUUAAGCUACUUUUGCUUUGUUGUGUUUUUAUGCUUUAAAUGCAUAAUGCAAAAUACGCUAUUUGUCUCUGCUUUUCCUCUGCAUUUGUGAAAUGGUCAUUGGUCCAUUUUAUAGUGGCAGAGAACCUCAGAGAGCAGCAGAGGCCAACCUGCUCGCCAACACUGAGUAACCACAGGCUAAAAAUAGCUGAGAACUGCAUGCUGUGUAGAAAAGACACAGAAACCAAUUGUCCUUGUGGUAAUCCUUCUUCCUUCAGGAUUAUGAUUGGUAUUGCUUGUUAAUUUGUAUAUUCUCCACUCUUAAUGGAGAGGAUAUAUUCUGAUGCUAUAUACAGAGGAUUUCAGAGUGGUGACAGCUGUUGGUGGUUGUCAUUUCAGAGAAUGUAGACAGAAACACCUUGGAGUGUAUCUUCAAGGUUGCCUUCUGUGGUGGUGCAUCCUCCCCCACUCCUUGGGCUGCACUAUCGUCUCAGAAACGCCCAUUAAACCUCGGCCUUGAUGAACAGAACCUGGACUGAGCUCCUUUUGAGCUUGUCAGAAACUCUAUCAGCUCCUGUUUUUCGAAGAAUAGCCUUGGAAAAUUAGUUUUCAAGCCUGAAUAUCAACUUGAGUGGAACAACAUUUUUAUUAUCAAACUUUCAAAGAACGUCACUGACUGUAAUCAUGGCCAGGAUGGAAAAUUGCUAUGACUAAAGGGUUGUCCUAAGUGAGACCCUUUGAGCUGUCCUGGACCACAGCAGGCUGUGCCCAGCCUCCCCCACCUGAGUGGGACACGCUUGGAGCAGGUUCAAAGCUGGAAGACAAAGGCUUAGAACUCCCCUUCCAUUUGUCAGGAGCAGAGGAAGAAAUGAAGGAACAAGCUUCACAACUGAACUAAUUAGGAGAAAUGGUUUGAGAUCUACUGGCCUCAAAGAGCAGCCCACAUUUAGCAGCAUAUUGGACAGCUAAGCUUGAGCAUGUGAGCCUGAAAUGGAUUUGUUGGUUGAAUUGGUUCUACAUUUGUAAGAUUAUUUGGAGCUGUGAGGCAGUCAUCUCUACACAUAGGUUUUAAGCAGUGAGAUUACUCUGUCCUGUUAUGUGACAUUUUAUUUCAUCAAAUGCUAAACAGCUUUUGUGGGACUUCAGAUAUUUUCUCUUCUGCUGACACAUGUUGGCUUCCUACCCCUGCUUGUUCCAGUACCUGUAUUAUUCACAAGUGAUUUCUUAAUAUUUUUUAUAAUGAGAAAUGUGUGUUAUUCUCAUCUUGCUUGCUCUUGAAAAUAGAUGGACAGUCCUUACUAAAGCUUUAUGGAAAAAGAAAACCAACAAUAAUUGAGAUCAUAUUCACAGACUGGUUCUUCUGAAAGUCUUAUGUUCCAGAAGUAUCUUUAAUCAUGUGUUUUUAAAAGAAAGUUUUUGAUCAUUUGAAAAUGUAAAAUGGCUGAAUAGAAUUUAAGUUGGCUACUUUGAGAAACUUCCUUUUUUUCCAACCUAAUUUUUAUUGCCCUUCUUGUCUACUGUCUAGUAUAACCAAGGAUGAUUCAGAUAAAAUGACUGUAAUCUCCCUGCAGGAUUUUAUGUGACUCAGUGAAGCCUUAUUCCAUAUCAAAUCUUUGAAUUUUUCACUCUCUAAAAGAAACGUUUUCUCCUUGAAACUGGAAGAAAUUGGUGAUGCGAACAUGGAUGAGCUGAUCAACACAAGCAAGUUGUGCUGUUUUGUACAGAGAAAAAUAAAAGCAACGACAGCACUUUAGUAUCUGCAUUGACCUCCAUGAUGUCAGAAUGUCAUUGUGCAACCGUAGCUAAGAAAAGCCGCUGAGAAAAAAAAAACAAAGGAGCUUUGCGUCUUCCAAUAACAUGAGAUGUGCAUAUACAUUGAACCAAGACUCUGUAGCUGAUACGCAAUGUCACUUACAACAUUAAUCAGAUACUGCAUUUAAGUUUCGGAAAACCUUGGAUGAGGACUUUUUUUUUUCCCACUCCUGCUUUCCCUGUUGAUAAACUCAGUUCUCCUGCUCACGGUCUAUUCAAGCUGCUUCCCAUCUGAAUUUUGACAACUGCUUCUAAAAAAUUAUCAAGAAGACCACGAACAGAACUUAUCUCCAUCGCUUUACAUAAAAAUGGCUGGGUGCAUUGCCAUGUUAACACUGCUCUAAGUGGUACAUGCAGGCUGAUACACUGUAGCCACACAGUUCACAAAAUUACUGAGAUGGUUUUGCUGAAAAUACCUGUCAAUACCACUUUUAAAAGACCCUAACAGAAGAACAACCUGAUUUUAGGUAUUUUUUUUUCAAGCAUAUGUUUCAUCUCUGCUUUGUGGAGGGAAGCGGCAGAAGGUAGCACCGAGCUAUCGAUGCUCAGAGAUACUUUCUCUUUCUUCCUGGCCGAAGGGCCUGGAAGGGCAGACAGGCAAUGAAGUCCCGUGUUAGGUCCAAGAGGAAUUCUCCGGGACGUGCACAGCACUGCGUUGAUGGCCGUGGAGCAGGCGCCGGGUUCUGGGAGCGCCGCGUUUCCUCACGGGUGUCAGUUCACAGCGGUUGCCUCCCAGGAGCUCGGCGGAGAGGCGCCGUGCCCGCUGGCCGCGCUCGCUGCGGAGCGAGGACAGGGAACACGCGCGGUG